Molecule: long non-coding RNA, 807 nt
Filed under: Ananas comosus (pineapple)
Lineage: Eukaryota; Viridiplantae; Streptophyta; Magnoliopsida; Poales; Bromeliaceae
Description: long non-coding RNA (ACOM_LNC023629)
Source: RNAcentral
AGUAGAAGUUUUUAUGAUUUAACGACGGUAUCUAUUUUUGAAACAUUGGUCGGGAAAAGAGUUAUAUCUAUAUCUAUAUCUAUACUCUAUAUAUUAUUUCUUAUAGAGUUUGUUACGUAGUAAUUAAUUCCCCCCUUCCUUGUCCUUUUCACUCCCUGAUGCUUCGCCUUCCCACCUCAUCUGUACCUAAUGUCUCGUCUUUCCACCUGCCCACUUUCUAGUUAAUAUAUUCAAUGAUCUAUUUUUAUCUAAACAAAUUACUUAAAAAAAAGAGUAAAAUAAGAUCUCUUCAUACUCAUUUUUAUCACUUUUUUUUUUUUCUUUUUGCCUUUUCUUGGUGCACAAGAAGGGUUCAAUUUUUAUAUUUUUCUUAAUUUUUUUCUAUUGUUUAAAUUGUGUGCAGAUUGAAAUUAGGGUUCCAAGGAUUGCGGCGGCGUGGCAAGGUGAAGUGAAAUGGAUUUGGAGUUGACGAGGCGAAAGAAGCGGUGGGUGCGGGGGGAUCUGUAUGGCAUCGACGUAGCCGUUAUCAAGGAAAAGCUCGACGCCAACAAUGGUAGUGGAGGCGACGCGGAGAAUGUGAAUAGAGUAGUAACGAUCUAUUACUGCUUCUUUCAUUAUUGUUAUAUAUAAUUUAUUUACUGUUGUAAUUUUUGCUACAUUUGUAUAUAUCUGUUUUAUAUUUUUUAUUUAUAUCUGUUGAUAUCUCAUGACAAAUAAAAAAAUUUUAAAAUUUUAACUUUGUCGAUCUUUUAUCUUUUAUAGCAUUAGCCCGCCGCAAUACGUGGUUAACUUCACUAGUUAAUAAUA